AGUAGUUAAAUCAAUGAGAAAAUAAAACUGUACAUACAAAGACACAAACAGGAAAUCGUAAGAAGCGUGCAACAGUGCGUCAUCGAGAAUGAUGAUAAUAAGAAGACUUGACAGCUCAGUAGGUAUAUCGACUAUGACUGUGACUGUAUUGUCAUGCUUUAAAAAGCUUAAAACCAACGUGAUGUUGAACACCUUGUACAGAAGAGACACUGAUAGCUGAAAUGGAAGUCAUCUUUUUUGUUUUACUUGUGAAGGGAAUCCUUGCCAAACUAACAUGCACUGUGUCAGUAUACCAGAAUCAGUCUGUUGCUUAUAUCAUCUCUGGACCUCCGACUGCACCUGGAUGCUUACCCGAAUGGACCGCUGCUAACACCAUGUUGGUUGAUGAGAAGGGAAAUAUUUACCAUCAAGUGGUUUUGCAUGCUGAACCACAAAGGAUUCUCACUAUAGACUGUCAAAAAGAUGUUGCAUACCGUCUGGAAUGUUUGGCACUUUGGGUUUCUUCAGUGGUCAAGUGCAACAGUAAUCCGUUGGUGUUGUUUAAAAAAAAAACAGACACAUUUUUGGGAAAUUGCUUUAUUUUUUGGACCAAGAAUUUAUGACACUUUAGUCAGUGCUGACUGUGUCUCACCACUGCCUGCUGUUUGGAUCUUUUGAUCAUUCAGAAAAAAGUUUCCUAAUUUCCAGCAUGAGGAAACACUUACAGCCACAGGUGCAAAAAAUGAAUAAGGGGGUGACAUAUAAUACUUAAAUCAGCUUGCGCAGGGGAAAGAAGGCAUGUGACAGUUUUGGAGCCAUCUAUGUUCCCCCAAAAGACAAUUUGUAACUUGCAGCUGUCACUUGUAUGUUCUGUGUUUCUGUUCUACCUGCCUUGUCCUAGUUUUCAUUUGUUGCUUGAUUAGUUCUUUUGUUUCCACCCGUGUUCAUUUAUCUUAGUCCAUCGUUUGGUUUUGUAUACCUGUGUUCAUUUCUUAUCUUAUUAGUCCUCAGUUUGUUUGUCCUGUUUCCGUCAUGUAAAGAGUUUUUUUUUUCUCCUGUUUUUUAAGAUUCUGUUUAUUUGAUAUCUGCCUCCUUCGUACUCAUUCAAGCUCCUUCGACUGGCAACCCCGUGACAGAAGACAGGAUCCUAAAAGGAUAGACUGGGCUGAGGAUUUACUACUUAACAUCCAGCAGGAGGGACGGCCAUUGGAACGAUAUGUGGAGUUCCUGAGUGUUUAUCAUCUGGUGAGCUGGAGCAAUCAUAUGUUUAAUGGUUGCUUCCGAAUGGGACUGUACGAUGAUAACUUGUUCCGAUUUCUGUCUCCUGGUGAUAGUUAUAGACCUGUAACAGACAUUCUAAAUCACGUCCUCAAUAAUCGUCCAGAUCCCAUCUGGAAGCAUGUAGGCGCUCCGGCUCACCUUAAAUCAGCACCUUUCAUAUACUGCUCCAAUGAGCCCGCUCCCUUCGUUCAACCCAUGCCUUCGGGAUCCCAUCCAAGAUCCAUUUCAGCCCAGAAAAUGAGGCACCAGCGCUCCUGGAUUUGGCUCUUCCUCUGGAGAUCUCUGCUCCUAUCUUCUCACCUGAGUCUGCUCCAGAAAGCUCUCCUGAGUUUCCUUCAUCUCUGCUAGUCCCUUCCAGCCCUCCUUCAUUUCCUGAGUCUCCUGUGUUAGCGCCCUCCAACUGCCUGCCCCUCGAGAGCGCCUAGUUUUCCCCAAGAAAAUUUUGGGAGGCAGUCUAUAUAAAUGUGGCCACACCGGCUAAGGCCACGGAGGAUCUGCCUUGGCCUCCUGAGUCCCCUGAUCCGCCAUGGCCCCCUGAGUUACCAGCUUCUCCAUGCCUCCUGGAGCUACCAGAUCCGCCCACCACGUCCACCACUGAUGUCAUGUGUAUGUUCUGUGUUUCUGUUCUCUCUGCCUUGUCCUAGUUUUUCCUUUGUUGCUUGAUUAGUUAAUUUGUUUCCACCCGUGUUCAUUUAUCUUAGUCCAUCAUUUGGUUUUGUAUACUGUAAAUGGCCCUGACUGUCCUCAGUUUGUUUGUUUGUCCUGUCUCCGUCAUGUAAAGAGGUUGUUUUUCUCCUGGUUUUUCCAAGUGGAUUUAUUAAAAGACUGUUUAUUUGAUAUCUGCCUCCUUGGUGCUCCUGCACCUAGCAACCCUAUGACAGUAGCUAAGUUGUAAAUUAUAUUAACUUUCUCAGUCUACAUCAUUAUAAAUAAACUCAGUAUGUUAUGUACUAACAAUUGCAAAACAGGUUUUCUUUUCACUUUAACCCGCAGCUUUAAACUUAACUAAACCACUUCUGCAUAUAAGGGCAUCGGCUUUCAUAAUCUUAAACUUGCUGCCUUUUCUGUCUGUAUGCAUUUAUUUUAUUUUUCUGUGCAAUAAAUAACGUGGAUUGUGAAGGUAUUAAGGACCAUUUGUUUACUGUUUUUAUAAUACUGAUGUAAGACGCAAGUAAUUGUAACUUUAAUCACCUGCAGCUCCUGUGAAUAAAAAUUGUUUUAACCAUUCAAACGGAUGAUUCAUUCAGGAACAAAGCAACACAAUGACAUUAAACUUGUAUAAAAU
Long non-coding RNA from Cyprinus carpio carpio, 2545 nucleotides. Lineage: Eukaryota; Metazoa; Chordata; Actinopteri; Cypriniformes; Cyprinidae. The record is from Ensembl.